ACAAACGUUAUCCGGAGUUACUGGGCGUAAAGGGCGUGCAGGCGGUCGACUAAGUCUGGCGUGAAAGCUCUCGGCUAAACCGGGAGAGGUCGUUGGAUACUGGUUGACUAGAGGACGGUAGAGGCGUGUGGAAUUCCGGGUGUAGUGGUGAAAUGCGCAGAGAUCCGGAGGAACACCAGUGGCGAAGGCGACACGCUGGGCCGUACCUGACGCUGAUACGCGACAGCAUGGGGAGCGAACGGG
This 243-nucleotide ribosomal RNA is filed under the name uncultured bacterium. RNAcentral's name for it is "partial 16S ribosomal RNA". It matches the Rfam family "Bacterial small subunit ribosomal RNA", at positions 534 to 776 of the family's 1533-position model. The record is from RNAcentral.